Molecule: non-coding RNA, 161 nt
Filed under: uncultured Ruminococcus sp.
Lineage: Bacteria; Bacillati; Bacillota; Clostridia; Eubacteriales; Oscillospiraceae
Description: Lysine riboswitch
Rfam family: Lysine riboswitch aptamer
About the family: Riboswitches are metabolite binding domains within certain messenger RNAs that serve as precision sensors for their corresponding targets. Allosteric rearrangement of mRNA structure is mediated by ligand binding, and this results in modulation of gene expression.
Source: RNAcentral
AAAUAGAGGCGCGGUCAUCAUGAGUAAUAUGCAAAAACGUGCGGAAACACGGCAUAUGAAAGGGAUCACCGCCGAAAUGUGAUCAGGUUUUCCGGCCGGAUCAUGUUGGUCCGGUAUAUAACAUGUGCCGGACUGUCACCCAAAAGGUGGAGUGCUAUUUU